RNAcentral lists this ribosomal RNA (418 nucleotides) under gamma proteobacterium GA-22. RNAcentral describes it as "bacterial SSU rRNA". It matches the Rfam family "Bacterial small subunit ribosomal RNA", at positions 41 to 454 of the family's 1533-position model. The record is from RNAcentral. Lineage: Bacteria; Pseudomonadati; Pseudomonadota; Gammaproteobacteria.
GACAGGCCCUAACACAUGCAAGUCGAGCGGUAACACAAGGGAGCUUGCUCCUGAGGUGACGAGCGGCGGACGGGUGAGUAAUGCCUAGGGAUCUGCCCAGUCGAGGGGGAUAACAGUUGGAAACGACUGCUAAUACCGCAUACGCCCUACGGGGGAAAGGAGGGGACCUUCGGGCCUUCCGCGAUUGGAUGAACCUAGGUGGGAUUAGCUAGUUGGUGAGGUAAUGGCUCACCAAGGCGACGAUCCCUAGCUGUUCUGAGAGGAUGAUCAGCCACACUGGGACUGAGACACGGCCCAGACUCCUACGGGAGGCAGCAGUGGGGAAUAUUGCACAAUGGGGGAAACCCUGAUGCAGCCAUGCCGCGUGUGUGAAGAAGGCCUUCGGGUUGUAAAGCACUUUCAGUAGGGAGGAAAGGUG